CCCUUAGAUGUUCUGGGCUGCACGCGCGCUACACUGAAGCGUUCAACGAGUAUUCACCUUGCCCGGGAGGGUUGGGUAAUCUUUUGAAAACGCUUCGUGAUGGGGAUAGAUUAUUGCAAUUAUUAAUCUUCAACGAGGAAUUCCUAGUAAGCGCGAGUCGUCAGCUCGUGCUGAUUACGUCCCUGCCCUUUGUACACACCGCCCGUCGCUCCUACCGAAUGAGUGAUCCGGUGAAUAAUUCGGACUGCAGCACUGCUUGGUCUCCAGGCUUUGCAGCGGAAAGUUUAGUGAACCUUAUCACUUAGAGGAAGGAGAAGUCGUAACA
RNAcentral lists this ribosomal RNA (325 nucleotides) under uncultured eukaryote. Its description in RNAcentral is "partial 18S ribosomal RNA". It matches the Rfam family "Eukaryotic small subunit ribosomal RNA", at positions 1470 to 1796 of the family's 1831-position model. The record is from RNAcentral.